RNAcentral lists this ribosomal RNA (404 nucleotides) under uncultured bacterium. RNAcentral's name for it is "bacterial SSU rRNA". It matches the Rfam family "Bacterial small subunit ribosomal RNA", at positions 976 to 1380 of the family's 1533-position model. The record is from RNAcentral.
CGGGCUUGAACUGCGCAGGACCGGCCAAGAGAUUGGCUUUCCCUUCGGGGCCUGCGUGGAGGUGCUGCAUGGUUGUCGUCAGCUCGUGCCGUGAGGUGUCGGCUUAAGUGCCAUAACGAGCGCAACCCUUGCCCAUAGUUGCCAUCAGGUCGUGCUGGGCACUCUAUGGGGACUGCCAUCGCAAGAUGCGAGGAAGGUGGGGAUGACGUCAAAUCAGCACGGCCCUUACGUCCGGGGCUACACACGUGUUACAAUGGGGGGAACAGAAGGCGGCUUGCCGGCGACGGUUGGCGAAUCCCCAAACCCCCUCUCAGUUCGGACUGGAGUCUGCAACCCGACUCCACGAAGCUGGAUUCGCUAGUAAUCGCGCAUCAGCCAUGGCGCGGUGAAUACGUUCCCGGGCC